CGUAACGUGGGUAGAUCACCUUAUAAUGGUGCGUUACGGCGUAAGAUCUACCAUAACAAAUUUUGAUCUUGUAUUUUUUAGCUUUGUUAAUUCAAAUGCAGAAAAAUUCCAAGAUCACGAUUUGCUCUACUUUUUUUUUCUUUUACAUGUUAUGUUUUUCAUUGUUAAUAAACCAUUUCUUUCAGGAGGAUUCAGAUUUGGAAUCGAACACCCAACAAGGAAUUAGGAAAGGAACCAGGCAUCAACCAAAAAUAUUGCGUGCACCUGAACGUUGACCAAACGUUUCCUUUGAACUUUACCCUUCCACUAACAUCCAAAUUCCCGUGAUGCCUAGGCCUGAAAGAAUGUAGAGGUCUCUAUGUACUUUCAUAGGUGUCCAACUAAUCUUCCUUUCCCAUCCCUCAGCUGUCGCAAGGACGUGGCCAGGACAGCACUGGACCGUUGGAGGAUUGCGUCAAUCUUGUCUAAGAGUCAGAGAUUAGUCCCAAAUCUUUGUGCUUUGAUAACGGACAGGAAAGAUGCAACCCUCAUAACAGCGAUCCAGGGCUGUACCACCUACGAAUUUGUGCGACUUGCUUAAUGCUAAUGCUAAUGCUAAUUUGCCAAACGAAUAACUUUUUUCACAAGCGUCGGAUCACUUUGCGGUCUUCGGCAAAUCCUAGGCUAUCUUCAACGUCACUAGUUACAUGAUUUUAGACAAAAGAAUUCAUUUUAAAUUUAAAUUUUAAAUUUUAUCCAUACAACGUUGACCCACUCUAAUGUUCAUAGCCAUCGCUAGACCCAGAAACGGUUCAAAUCCUGUUUUCUUUCCUUCCAUCCGUCACUGCACAGUGUUAAUCUUUCAUAUAACACCUACGCAGUCAAGCGAACUGUGCGGCAUUAACUUCAUAAUAAUUAUCACACAAGCCUAUCACCUCGCCUGGCAUCUACGCACCAUUGUGUGAACCCUCUGCCCACCAACACUCCGACAUCCGCAUGAAUUUGUGCUGACGCAGAGGUAUAUUCGGUCUGCUGUAGAUUCAAACGAUUGCAAUCAUCACUUCCUUCCCCUUCCCCACAUUUACCUGCAACCUGACGGGGCAGGGGCCAUUGUCGCCUAAAAAAUAGAAGAUCACCAACGCUCACACACUGAAGAUGCCUGCUAGUACCCGGCAUAUAUCCCAUUGAUUCCUUACGUGAGUGUAGCUGGUCUCGCGCUACUGGAGUAGCAUCCACAGGCGGUAAAUCAAUCUCAAGUUCAUGCUCAAGCUUAUUUGUCUGGAAAUUCCCCUAGAAGUUCCUCCGCAAGUCCUGGAGGUUUAUCUAAGGAGUCCCAUAGGGAAUUGCUCAAGAAGUUCCAUUUGAAUUUUGUUUAGGAAUUCUAUUAAGAAUUCCUCAAGAAAUUCCUCCUGGAGUACUAAUAGACGUUCCUCUGGGAAUUUUUCAAGAAAUUUCAACGGACAAGUGCAUUUCAAUUUAUCAGAAUCUCCUCAAUCCAAAAAUGAAUUUGAACUCAGAAUUUUAUGAUUCUACGUGCCUUUGAACUAUGUAUUUUUAAACGUAUUUAAUUUUUAUUUUACAUGUAGCAUCGCCCUGAAGGGUUAAAGUGACGAUACCGCAAGAAACCAAUAUCAACGUCAAACAAACACCAGUUCGUAGACAUAACAAUGCCAGCUCAACGUGAUUCAUUGUUCGAAAAUUUGAUUGCGUUCAUGUGACUAAUCGAAUACAAUUUUGGCACAGUGCUUUCUUCUCUUUUACCAUCAAUGGGUCGUCCAUUAAUUACGUCAGACAAUGUUCACAAUUUCUCGAUAUCACUUUACAUCCUAAAAGAUUUUUGUAUGAAAAUCGUGAUGUUUUUGUAAAAGCGUGAACUUUUUGUAAUUCUCUCCUCGCUCCGCGCAUAAAUUGAAACGUACUUUUGUUAAUGGGUGAUCUUUAUGUCGUAAGCCAUUAUUGUCGCGCUUAUCUUUUAUUAGAGUCCUGCGGCGGUCGUACGCUCGCAAGGCAUACCGCCGCAUGACAGUCGCAAGGCAAAACAAAAGAAAAAGUGUUCCCGCCAAAAACAAAAGCACGUGGGUUUCGCGAAGUGACAGAUCUUUUUGAAUGUAUUUGUGACGAACGGCAAGAGUAGCUCAGUGGAAUGGAUGUUCUUGCUGUCAAACCCCAUAUAGUGGAAUUAGAUACUUUUAAAUCUGGUGACGCUGUUAUGAUUAGUGACUGUCGCGCUGAUAUCAGAAGCCAGAGGCAGAUAAUCGCCAUAUUCUGAUUUUUCUUGAGAGGCAUAAUAAC
Molecule: long non-coding RNA, 2271 nt
Organism: Aedes albopictus (Asian tiger mosquito)
Lineage: Eukaryota; Metazoa; Arthropoda; Insecta; Diptera; Culicidae
Exons: 2
Source: RefSeq, a predicted model, not a curated record